Molecule: ribosomal RNA, 440 nt
Filed under: uncultured bacterium
Lineage: Bacteria
Description: partial 16S ribosomal RNA
Rfam family: Bacterial small subunit ribosomal RNA
Source: RNAcentral
CCUACGGGGGGCAGCAGUAGGGAAUAUUGCUCAAUGGGGGAAACCCUGAAGCAGCAACGCCGCGUGGAGGAUGAAGGUUUUCGGAUUGUAAACUCCUUUUGUUAGAGAAGAUAAUGACGGUAGCUAACGAAUAAGCACCGACUAACUCCGUGCCAGCAGCCGCGGUAAUACGGAGGGUGCAAGCGUUACUCGGAAUCACUGGGCGUAAAGAGCGCGUAGGGGGGAUAGCAAGUCAGAUGUGAAAUCCUAUGGCUUAACCAUAGUACUGCAGUUGAAACUGUUAAUCUAGAGUAUGGGAGAGGUAGGUGGAAUUCUUGGUGUAGCGGUAAAAUGCGUAGAGAUCAAGAAGAAUACUCAUUGCGAAGGCGACCUGCUAGAACAUAACUGACGCUGAUGCGCGAAAGCGUGGGGAGCAAACAGGAUUAGAUACCCCAGUAGUC